AAUGAACGUUGGCGGCGUGGAUUAGGCAUGCAAGUCGAGCGAGAACCCAGCAAUGGGGGACAGCGGCGAAAGGGACAGUAAUGUGUAGAUUAUCUGCCCUCGGGUCCGGGAUAGCUGCGGGAAACUGCAGGUAAUACCGGAUAACAUCUCCGGAUCAAAGGUGUGAUUCCGCCCGAGGAUGAGUCUGCAUCCUAUUAGCUUGUUGGUGGGGUAAUGGCCUACCAAGGCUUUGAUGGGUAGCGGGUGUGAGAGCACGACCCGCGUCAUUGGGACUGAGACACUGCCCAGACACCUACGGGUGGCUGCAGUCGAGAAUCUUCGGCAAUGGGCGCAAGCCUGACCGAGCGACGCCGCGUGUGGGAUGAAGGCCUCCGGGUUGUAAACCACUGUCAGAGGGGAUGAAAUGCAGGUGGGUUCUCCCACUUGUUUGACAUAGCCUCAGAGGAAGGACGGGCUAAGUUCGUGCCAGCAGCCGCGGUAAU
This 482-nucleotide ribosomal RNA is filed under the name uncultured bacterium. RNAcentral's name for it is "bacterial SSU rRNA". It matches the Rfam family "Bacterial small subunit ribosomal RNA", at positions 29 to 524 of the family's 1533-position model. The record is from RNAcentral.